UGGGGAAUCUUCCGCAAUGGGCGAAAGCCUGACGGAGCAACGCCGCGUGAGUGAAGAAGGCCUUCGGGUCGUAAAGCUCUGUCUUUAGGGAAGAACAAUCAUAGUGUAAAUAAUGCUAUGAUCUGACGGUACCUAAGGAGGAAGCUCCGGCUAACUACGUGCCAGCAGCCGCGGUAAUACGUAGGGAGCAAGCGUUGUCCGGAAUUACUGGGCGUAAAGGGCGCGUAGGCGGGAACUCAAGUCAGAUGUGAAAACUCCGGGCUCAACCUGGAGACUGCAUUUGAAACUGGGUUUCUUGAGGGCAGGAGAGGAAAGUGGAAUUCCUAGUGUAGCGGUGAAAUGCGUAGAUAUUAGGAGGAACACCAGUGGCGAAGGCGACUUUCUGGACUGUACCUGACGCUGAGGCGCGAAAGCGUGGGGAGCGAACA
RNAcentral lists this ribosomal RNA (428 nucleotides) under uncultured prokaryote. Its description in RNAcentral is "bacterial SSU rRNA". It matches the Rfam family "Bacterial small subunit ribosomal RNA", at positions 355 to 774 of the family's 1533-position model. The record is from RNAcentral.